Molecule: long non-coding RNA, 199 nt
Filed under: Phoenix dactylifera (date palm)
Lineage: Eukaryota; Viridiplantae; Streptophyta; Magnoliopsida; Arecales; Arecaceae
Description: long non-coding RNA (PDAC_LNC004339)
Source: RNAcentral
AAUUUCUUUGUUAAUUAUUUUUCCACUCCGAAGGGUUGUGACAGACUUUACUUGCUCAAAUUUAGGUUGGGAUGAACUUGCUUCAUGGACCUCAUGUUGACCCUUUGGGUUAGAUUGAGGUUGGACUGGAAAUGUCCCUCUUUCCCUAACAUUAAGUUGAGCCUCAAUUCUACCUACAGAAUUUUUAAGUUCUUGGAGU